GAUCAGCAAAGCUGGGGAAUGUGUAGACAUUCAUCGGAACUCCCGGCAAAAGGCUUGCAAAGGUGAUUUCCCUUUC
RNAcentral lists this non-coding RNA (76 nucleotides) under unclassified sequences. RNAcentral's name for it is "HTH-XRE RNA". It matches the Rfam family "HTH-XRE RNA". The record is from RNAcentral.